Non-coding RNA from Otolemur garnettii (small-eared galago), 104 nucleotides. NCBI's taxonomy places the organism in Eukaryota, Metazoa, Chordata, Mammalia, Primates, Galagidae. The record is from Rfam.
GUGCUUGCUUCAGUGACACAUAGACUAAAACUGGAAUGAUAUAGAGAUUAGUAUGGCCCCUGAGCAAGGAUGACAUGCAAAUUCAUGAAGCAAUCCAUAUUUUU